CUCACGCUGACCCCCCUAAGACAAAUUUAGGACCCAGGGGAUCUGGAAACAACUACUGAUUUUGGAUCAAUUAACAAUUUCUAUGCAAAGAGGGGGAAGGGCAAGAGCGCUCCUCAAGAUGUCGACACUAUUAAAAGGCAUUUAUUAAUUAGAUGCAUGUUUCUUCAUUAGGAUAAUAGGAUUAGCAUUCCUUGUCUAUGGAUAUGUUUUACAUUUCCCGGGUCUGUGGGGAAAUAGUUCUGUACUGAUAAUUUAAUAGCCUCUUUUAACUAGUUUCUCCAUUUGAGCUGCUGCAUGUAGCAGUCGUGUUCCUAUUACCUCUCACCAUGGCUUCCGUCGUAAAUUGGAAAAGAGAAUUUGCCAUUUAAGAAACUAUUGAAGGCAAGGAUGCCCAGAGGAUUAUGACUCCCCUUUGUGCCGCGCCGAGCCCCCCUGUCCGAUCCUGACCAUCUGGUUCCAGGGGCAAGAGAAGAUCUGAGGAAGAGAACACAAAGGACACUCCAGUUCUGUCCACCUGUGUUUAAUGAUUUCCAAAACACUCUGAGAUCGAGUACAAUGAGGCCCCAUUGACUAUUGUUGUCACAUGGCAAUAAAGCCUAAGACAACAACUGCCUAUGGCAAUAAAGCCUUAUUUUUGUUUCCUGUCCAGCUACCUGUGCCUCUGUUUCUCUGUCCACCUCUACAGGUGGCUCAGAGUCCUUUGUCAUGUGCAAUACACAUUAAAAUGAAUAAUUAAUACAAAUCCAUA
Molecule: long non-coding RNA, 748 nt
Organism: Anguilla rostrata (American eel)
Lineage: Eukaryota; Metazoa; Chordata; Actinopteri; Anguilliformes; Anguillidae
Exons: 2
Source: RefSeq, a predicted model, not a curated record